Molecule: ribosomal RNA, 446 nt
Filed under: uncultured bacterium
Lineage: Bacteria
Description: partial 16S ribosomal RNA
Rfam family: Bacterial small subunit ribosomal RNA
Source: RNAcentral
CCUACGGGUGGCAGCAGUCGAGAAUCAUUCACAAUGGGGGAAACCCUGAUGGUGCGACGCCGCGUGGGGGAAUGAAGGUCUUCGGAUUGUAAACCCCUGUCAUGUGGGAGCAAAUUAAAAAGAUAGUACCACAAGAGGAAGAGACGGCUAACUCUGUUCCAGCAGCCGCGGUAAUACAGAGGUCUCAAGCGUUGUUCGGAAUCACUGGGCGUAAGGCGUGCGUAGGCUGUUUCGUAAGUCGUGUGUGAAAGGCGCGGGCUCAACCCGCGGACGGCACAUGAUACUGCGAGACUAGAGUAAUGGAGGGGGAACCGGAAUUCUCGGUGUAGCAGUGAAAUGCGUAGAUAUCGAGAGGAACACUCGUGGCGAAGGCGGGUUCCUGGACAUUAACUGACGCUGAGGCACGAAGGCCAGGGGAGCGAAAGGGAUUAGAUACCCGUGUAGUC